CCUACGGGAGGCAGCAGUAAGGAAUAUUGCUCAAUGGGAGAAAUCCUGAAGCAGCAACGCCGCGUGGAGGAUGAAAUACUUUUGUAUGUAAACUCCUGUAAGAAGGGAAAAAUAUGCAAUUAUUUUGCGUUGAUUGUACCUUCAGAGUAAGCCCCGGCUAACUACGUGCCAGCAGCCGCGGUAAUACGUAGGGGGCUAGAGUUGUCCGGAUUUACUGGGUGUAAAGGGUGCUCAGGCGGAUUUGUAAGUCAGAGGCGAAAUCCCAAAGCUUAACUUUGGAGCUGCCUUUGAUACUGCAAGUCUUGAGUGUGAGAGAGGGUAAUGGAAUAUCUGGUGUAGCAGUGAAAUGCGUAGAUAUCAGAUAGAACACCAAUGGCGAAGGCAGUUACCUGGCUCAAUACUGACGCUAAAGCACGAAAGUGUGGGGAGCAAACAGGAUUAGAUACCCUGGUAGUCCACACCCUAAACGAUGAAUACUAGAUGUUGGUCCUUUUCAGGGUCAGUAUCCAAGCUAACGCAUUAAGUAUUCCACCUGGGAAGUACAAUCGCAAGGUUGAAACUCAAAGGAAUUGACGG
Molecule: ribosomal RNA, 576 nt
Filed under: uncultured bacterium
Lineage: Bacteria
Description: bacterial SSU rRNA
Rfam family: Bacterial small subunit ribosomal RNA
Source: RNAcentral